CUGAGUACUACACUCCCUACCUUUGUGAACUAUUAUACCUGUUGCUUCGGCGGCGCCCGCGAGGGUGCCGCCGGUCUCAUCAGAAUCUCUGUUUUCGAACCCGACGAUACUUCUGAGUGUUCUUAGCGAACUGUCA
RNAcentral lists this unclassified non-coding RNA (136 nucleotides) under soil metagenome. Its description in RNAcentral is "partial internal transcribed spacer 1". The record is from RNAcentral.